GAUGAACGCUGGCGGCGUGCCUAAUACAUGCAAGUCGAGCGAACGGACGAGAAGCUUGCUUCUCUGAUGUUAGCGGCGGACGGGUGAGUAACACGUGGAUAACCUACCUAUAAGACUGGGAUAACUUCGGGAAACCGGAGCUAAUACCGGAUAAUAUUUUGAACCGCAGGGUUCAAAAGUAAAAGACGGUCUUGCUGUCUCUUAUAGAUGGAUCCGCGCUGCAUUAGCUAGUUGGUAAGGUAACGGCUUACCAAGGCAACGAUGCAUAGCCGAACUGAGAGGGUGAUAGGCCACACUGGAACUGAGCCACGGUCAAGACUCCUACGGGAGGCAGCAGUAGGGAACCUUCCGCAAUGGGCGAAAGCCUGACGGAGCAACGCCGCGUGAGUGAUGACGGUCUUCGGAUCGUAAAACUCUGUUAUUAGGGAAGAACAUAUGUGUAAGUAACUGUGCCCAUCUUGACGGUACCUAAUCAGAAAGCCACGGCUAACUACGUG
Molecule: ribosomal RNA, 497 nt
Filed under: uncultured bacterium
Lineage: Bacteria
Description: partial 16S ribosomal RNA
Rfam family: Bacterial small subunit ribosomal RNA
Source: RNAcentral